UACAGAGGUCCCAAGCGUUGUUCGGAUUCAUUGGGCGUAAAGGGUGCGUAGGUGGCGCUGUAAGUCGGGUGUGAAAUUUCGGAGCUUAACUCCGAAACUGCAUUCGAUACUGCGGUGCUCGAGGACUGGAGAGGAGACUGGAAUUCAUGGUGUAGCAGUGAAAUGCGUAGAGAUCAUGAGGAAGACCAGUGGCGAAGGCGGGUCUCUGGACAGUUCCUGACACUGAGGCACGAAAGCUAGGGGAGCAAACGGG
RNAcentral lists this ribosomal RNA (253 nucleotides) under uncultured bacterium. RNAcentral describes it as "partial 16S ribosomal RNA". It matches the Rfam family "Bacterial small subunit ribosomal RNA", at positions 524 to 776 of the family's 1533-position model. The record is from RNAcentral.